RNAcentral lists this long non-coding RNA (2107 nucleotides) under Mytilus galloprovincialis (Mediterranean mussel). Lineage: Eukaryota; Metazoa; Mollusca; Bivalvia; Mytilida; Mytilidae. The record is from RNAcentral.
CAAUUUCGUCUCAGAAUGUCACAGGAUCCAGCUGGUUCUUGGGCUUUCGUUGACCCUGACUUAUGGCUGCUCAAUAUGUAUCCUCCGUCUAGUAUUGGUAAUUGGCAAUAAGCAUGGGGCGCUUAAAAUGUUACGCAUUCAAUUACCAAGGUUCAUGCGUGAAUCAAUCAUGUGCUUAUACUCAUUCUUGUUUAAGAUGCUUUGAUCAGCACCCACUUAUGAUUCAGUGCCCCAGACAAGACUGUUUUCCUGAAGGCAGGCAAAAUGUAAGAUUGAAGCAAACUAGGCCUCAGUUUAGACCGAGAUUUAAGGCACGUGUAAGCAACUCGUUGCAGUAUCCCAUCAAUACGAACUCGUAUACUGGGCAAAAUAUGAAGUGAAUUUUUAGCAAAUGCAAUUACAAUUGAUCUUAAAGAGAUAUCAAAUUGAGAAUUUUUGUGAUAUUUAUCUUAUGUUUAAUUUUGUAUAGAAUUUGGAUUGUAUUGAUUUCGAAUCCAAACUGAUGUAUCAUCUAUUGGAUAAAGGGUGGACUCCAUUAAACACAACUGAAUUAAAAGAAUGUAACUUGGGGGUUAUACAAAAGUGUAGAUUCCUAGCUCCGGCUGAGGGGUUUACUUUUGGCUUAAGGUUAUCAUAUGAAACUACCGCAAAUAAAUUUAAUGUCUUAAGCACGGAAAUUCGUAUUAUCAUGUGAAAAUCAAUCAAGAGCUGGGAUCGGAUACUUUUAAUCUUAUUAAAUUGUUAAAUGUUAAUUUGAACCUCUCAAUUUAGCAACAUUUUUUUUUUUUAUUUAUUAAGAAUAUAUUAAAAUCAAGCACUAUAUUUGAUAAUUAACAAGCAAAUAUCAAAAUCAAAGUUAGUAAGGAUGUUGAUUCGUCCUCUAGUAUUGUUAUUAAUGAGUAAAUAUUUUCAGAUUCGAGCGUUGUAUAUUCCAGGCUCAAGUAAUGCAGGUGCAGAUUCUCUGUCUCGUUUUCGGGUGAUCCGUUCCCGUACAUUGGGACCGGAAGCAUUUAUUAUACCAGACAUUCCUAAUAUGAACUUUCAUAUGGUCAUUUCGAAACUGGAAUAGACUUUCAAAUAAACAAUUCGGUAGUUGAUAGUACAGAAAAGUUUACCCGGGCUUUAAAUUUGUUAAACAGUUUCAGGAAAGAUUUCGGUCUUGCCAAAGUAUGGCUUUCGUCCUUGCUGGACAUUGUUGCUCUUACUGCAUAUAUGUUAAAUUAGGAUUUGCUCAUUCAACCAUACGUACACAUCGAUCAGGCUUGAUCAGGCUUAGCAUUUACAAUAAGCUAAAUGAUUAUGAAGACUUUACUAAAAAUUAAUAGUAAGCGAUGGUUUUGAGCGUUCAAGGUUGCUUCAGAUGGACACUAGGCUGACUUUUUAAGAGAGAUAUUGCAUCGUAUUUUGUCAAUAUUAUCAGGUAUAUGAAGUUCUGCAUACAAAGCUAGGCUAUUCCAGGCGGUUUUUUCCUUGGGUUGACGUGGUCUUUUUAUGCAUGGUUGGGGAGUUAACAGUUCAAAAUAUGAGCAAUGCAUGUUCUACAAAUCAUGCUUUAAACAAAAAUGAUGUCAAAAUUUACAAGAAAUAUGUAGAAAUUCAUUUGGUUUCAUCUAAGACCGAUCAGUUUGGUAGAGGGUUAACUAUACACAUUCCUGCGCAAUUAGACAAAUGUGUAUUUGUCCAGUGGCUUUUAUUGCUUUUGCUAUUUGCCAGAUAGACUUGUAGUAGGUGGACCGCUAUUUUGUCUUUUGAUGGUUAGCUAGUUUGACUAAAUACCAAUUUUCUGCAAUACUCAAAAUAUCUUUACAUGCUUUAGGUAUUAAAUAUUCUCGUUGUUCGUCGAACUCAUUCAACAUAGGUAUGGACCUAUAAUGGUUCACUUCUAUAAAUUGGGACUUGGAUGGAGAUUUGUAUAUGGAGAUAGCAUGUGUCGUUGAUGGAUUAUCCAAUAAAAAUAUUUAGGUCGUUUGAAAGCGGGUGCAUAUUUGCGUUACAUAUACGAAUUCCCAUUUAAUUGUGUGUAUGUUGCUGAUUCUCCUAUAAGGGUUUGAAUUGUUAGGUCGACAAUUAUUAAGAAUGUGAUUUUGGAAGCAAGACAACGACCGGG